This 620-nucleotide long non-coding RNA is filed under the name Olea europaea subsp. europaea. Lineage: Eukaryota; Viridiplantae; Streptophyta; Magnoliopsida; Lamiales; Oleaceae. The record is from RNAcentral.
CCAAACAAGCAUAAUUCAACCUUUCAUCAUGGAUCAGAUGAAGGCUACAAAGAGAUAGUGCCUUCAAGAAUCCUGUAGUGAUAUGGUGGUUAACUGCUGCACCACCUAUGAUGGUGGUGGUGGUGGUGCCAUCUUUGGCAACAUGUCCUUUCUCAUUUGGCAGUGCGAUAAGACAAGCAAUUGCAAUUGCAAUUUGCAACAAUAUUCAAGAUUUACCUCUUCUACAUAUCUAAAAUCCUCAAUAACAGUCUUAGACCAAAAAAGUUAAUGAAUGCAAUGUUAUUGAUUUAUUUAUAUUUGUUUUCCAUACUAACAAUGAAUAGAUCUUGUUUACAAUGUCAGUGCAUCAAUGAAUUCUAUUUAUAUGCUUAUAUAAUGAUAUGAAAAGGGUAAAGGACUGUUCUCUACUCCUUAGCACAAGCACAGAGCAAGCAAGCUACAAACUAAAAAAGCUAUCUUGAUCGAUCAAAUAGCGUUAAUGGAGCAAUAAACUUAGGAGCAAGAACAGUCUUUUACUUUAUUAUGGAAAGAUCACAUUCACGUAAUAAAAUAAAUAAAUAAAUAACAUGUAUUUCUCAUACAACACACAGUAUGUACUCUUGUAUCAUGCUUGUGGGGCC